UACGUAGGGUGCGAGCGUUGUCCGGAAUUAUUGGGCGUAAAGAGCUUGUAGGCGGUCUGUCGCGUCUGCUGUGAAAAUCCGGGGCUCAACCCCGGACUUGCAGUGGGUACGGGCAGACUAGAGUGUGGUAGGGGAGACUGGAAUUCCAGGUGUAGCGGUGAAAUGCGUAGAUAUCUGGAGGAACACCGGUGGCGAAGGCGGCAUCCUGGACCGGCAUUGACGCUGAGGCGCGAAAGCCAGGGGAGCAAACGGG
This 253-nucleotide ribosomal RNA is filed under the name uncultured bacterium. Its description in RNAcentral is "partial 16S ribosomal RNA". It matches the Rfam family "Bacterial small subunit ribosomal RNA", at positions 524 to 776 of the family's 1533-position model. The record is from RNAcentral.